CUCGAACAACACAUCCAUUAAGCAUCCUUUGCGUGCACGCGAGGUCAGAGUGCAACGCGUGUUAAAGGGUGUAGCAGCCUUUGAUGUGUCUAGGUAAGGUUCCGUCCCAUUAUUGCCGACAGCGUCACAUAAGUAUCUGCCUCUGUCUCUCUUUCUCCAGACUCUUUUUGGUCGGCGAGGAUACCCACGCCAAGAAUCCGCUUCUCAGAACGCAAGCACAGCUGGAAUAGGAUUUAACUUCUCCUCCUGCCUCUCUGACCGCCCAUCCACCAACCAACAACGGACGAUAUCCAAUUAUACUGUUCUAUUGGCAGAGAAAUGUGUCCUUCUCAAGUUUAUCAGGAGGGAUGGGGAACAGCUGGAAUCUAAUUGUCAACUAUUGGCCAAUGAGAAGCGAGAGGAACACUGGCAAGGAGAGUGAUGGAAUGUGGGCAGAAAAGAGUAACUGUUGCCGUGGAGACCAAAGAAGGAU
Molecule: long non-coding RNA, 472 nt
Filed under: Salmo salar (Atlantic salmon)
Lineage: Eukaryota; Metazoa; Chordata; Actinopteri; Salmoniformes; Salmonidae
Description: lncRNA (ENSSSAG00000095331.1)
Source: RNAcentral